GGACCCGCACAAGUAGUGGAGCAUGUGGUUUAAUUCGAUGCAACGCGAAGAACCUUACCAGGCCUUGACAUCCCCGGAACUUUCUAGAGAUAGAUUGGUGCCUUCGGGAACCGAGUGACAGGUGCUGCAUGGCUGUCGUCAGCUCGUGUCGUGAGAUGUUGGUUAAGUCCCGCAACGAGCGCAACCCUUGUCCUUAGUUGCCAGCAUUAAGUUGGGCACUUUAAGGAAACUGCCGGUGAUAAGCCGGAGGAAGGUGGGGAUGACGUCAAGUCCUCAUGGCCCUUACAGGCUGGGCUACACACGUGCUACAAUGGCGAUGACAGUGGGCAGCGACCCCGCAAGGGUGAGCUAA
RNAcentral lists this ribosomal RNA (352 nucleotides) under uncultured bacterium. Its description in RNAcentral is "bacterial SSU rRNA". It matches the Rfam family "Bacterial small subunit ribosomal RNA", at positions 917 to 1271 of the family's 1533-position model. The record is from RNAcentral.